GGCGGCAUGCUUUACACAUGCAAGUCGAACGGCAGCGCGGGGCAACCUGGCGGCGAGUGGCGAACGGGUGAGUAAUAUAUCGGAACGUACCCAAGAGUGGGGGAUAACGUAGCGAAAGUUACGCUAAUACCGCAUACUAUCUAAGGAUGAAGGUGGGGGAUCGCAAGACCUCAUGCUCCUGGAGCGGCCGAUAUCUGAUUAGCUAGUUGGUGAGGUAAAGGCUCACCAAGGCGACAAUCAGUAGCUGGUCUGAGAGGACCACCACCCACACUGGAACUGAGACACGGUCCACACUCCUACGGGAGGCAGCAGUGGGGAAUUUUGGACGAUGGGCGCAAGCCUGAUCCAGCAAUGCCGCGUGAGUGAAGAAGGCCUUCGGGUUGUAAAUCUCUUUUGUCAAGAAAGAAACGGUUGAGGCUAAUAUCCUCGGCUAAUGACGGUACCUGAAAAAUAAGCACCGGCUAACUACGUGCCAGCAGCCGCGGUAAUACGUAGGGUGCAAGCGUUAAUCGGAAUUACUGGGCGUAAAGCGUGCGCAGGCUGUUUUGUAAGUCUGUCGUGAACGCCCCGGGCUCAACCUGUGAAUUGCGAUGGAGACUGCAAUGCUUGAAUCUGGCAGGGGGGGGAUAUAUUUCCACGUGUAGCAGUGACAUGCGUAGAGAUG
RNAcentral lists this ribosomal RNA (664 nucleotides) under uncultured bacterium. Its description in RNAcentral is "bacterial SSU rRNA". It matches the Rfam family "Bacterial small subunit ribosomal RNA", at positions 38 to 698 of the family's 1533-position model. The record is from RNAcentral.